Molecule: ribosomal RNA, 621 nt
Filed under: uncultured bacterium
Lineage: Bacteria
Description: bacterial SSU rRNA
Rfam family: Bacterial small subunit ribosomal RNA
Source: RNAcentral
AGAGUUUGAUCCUGGCUCAGAAUCAACGCUGGCGGCGCGCCUACACAUGCAAGUCGAACUGGAGAAAGGGAGCAAUCCAUGAGUAAAGUGGCGUACGGGUGAGUAACACGUGGAUGAUCUACCCCUCAGUGUGGAAUAACCCUGGGAAACCGGGCUAAUACCGCAUACUCCGCCCGCUUAAAGGCGGGACGGGAAAGGAGCAAUUCGCUAAGGGAAGAGUCCGCGGCCGAUUAGCUAGUUGGUAGGGUAAUGGCCUACCAAGGCAACGAUCGGUAGCCGGCCUGAGAGGGCACACGGCCACAUCGGCACUGAAACACGGGCCAGACUCCUACGGGAGGCAGCAGUGGGGAAUCUUGCACAAUGGGGGAAACCCUGAUGCAGCGACGCCGCGUGAGCGAUGAAGGCCUUCGGGGUGUAAAGCUCUUUCGGCAGGGAAGAUAAUGAUGACGGUACCUGCAGAAGCAGCUGCGGCAUAAAACUACGUGCCAGCAGCCGCGGUAAUACGUAGGCGCAAGCGUUGUUCGGAGUUACUGGGCGUAAAGCGUGUGUAGGCGGUUGCCUAAGUUUGGUGUGAAAUCUCCCCCACCGCGGCUCUACAACUGGGAGGGUGCGCCGAAAACU